ACGUAGUACAUAAAAGUUUUAAAAUUAGAGGAAGAGAGACAUAAUUACUAGAGCUAUCGGUAGUACGGAGACCUUCAUACUACCAAAUUGUUUUUAAUGAUGCCGGUUUUCAAAUUGACGAUCGGCUCCGUUAAACUUAAUUUAUACUAUAGAAAGUAUUAGGAAAAUAAAUUUUAUAAUUUUUCGACAUUAUUUGGCUAGCGAUCAACAGAUCUCAAAAUUGAUGAUUUUAAUGAUCGGUGUGAUGUGUUUGCGAAUUUGACGGUGUAAAACAAUUCAAAUCUAAUAAAAUUUUUAUAGAAUUUUUUUUUUCACUAUUUAAAGUUAGAUCAUUAUUUUUUAUUUUAAAUUCAAGUCUUUUAUCAUCAUUUUUUAUGAGAAUUUUAUUUUUAGUCGUUCAUUUUUAAAUUACUCGUCUGAUAAAAAAUUAUAAAAUUUAUUUUUCAAAUACUUUCAAUAGUGUAGAUCAAGUCUAACGGAGCCGAUCGUCGAUUUGAAAGCUGUAUUAUUAAAAAUAAUUUGAUAACACGAAGGCCUCCAUACUAUCAAUAGUACAACAGCCGGACUCUAAUUAUUAUAUAAGUUUUGUAUUUUGUGUGCAAAAUAGUAACUUCCAAGCUCAUAGAAAUGCAGUCACAUACUUUGAUUAAAUUAUUAGCUCAUAGAAAUGCAGUCACAUACUUUGAUUAAAUGCAGUCACAUACUGUGGCAAUAAAUUAGUAGCUCCAUUUUUCAUACUUUGAUUAAAUUGAUCAGCAGUCACAUAGAAAUGCAGACUCAUAAGUAGCGCUUAGGCUGAAUUUUGAGGUGGUUAUGCCAAUAUCACUCAUCUAUUGAGCCACAUAUAAAACAUGCCAAAACAUGCCAUGCUUACUGAAACCGGAGAACUAAGUUAUAGGGGCCCUUUCUUGAACUAUAGAACCAUAAAAAUUGGCUUCUAAGUUCUAACUUAAAAACUUUAGGGACUAAAGUAUCAUCUAUUCCAAAGAAAAUUACAUCUAAAUUAGGAUUCAAGUUAAUCGAACUUACUCUUUAAUGAUCAAUUUGAUCCCCGGAAACUCCUUCACAAAGUAGUCCACACACUCUUGCAUUGCAGGGUAACCUGCAGCACAAAGGAACCUACCAGCAAUAGAAGGCCUCUCCAUGCAGAAAAUGUGGGCCUCACAGACAUCAUCAAUGUGAAUCAACGGAACCGAGCCUAGCAAUGCCUGCAGGAACAUCAGUUGCCUGUGGCAAAUCUCCUCGCCCGUCAGCGGCGCGACGAUGACGCGUACGCUCAACGGCGUAUACGGAAGGAUCGUGUCGCCGCCGCCGACGAGGCCGCAUGCUAGGCUCACCACCUCCAGUUUCGACCCUUUUGAUCGUCUGUCGUCGUUGUAGCUUAGCACGGCCUUUUCCGAAAGGGUUUUCGAAGAUACGUAGGCCUGAAAAUUUUCACUUCUUACAUUGUACCCUUUCAUUUUUUUUCAAAAGCACCAUUCAACUAUUCAUUUUUUUCAAUACUUAUAUUAGAAAUAAUAUCUAUUUUGCCAACACAUCUUCAUGGCUUGCCCGUAUUGGACACAAGUCCGACUCAGAUACGCACGCGUGUUCAACACAGACAUGUGAGAUUUAUAGAAGUGUUUAUGAUAGAGCUCAACUACUAACUACUAAAAAAUAAUUUAGGAAAAAUACCUUCUCGUGAUCCUCGGAGUGAGCGUACGAGACAUCGAGCGGAGUCCAGCAUGACUCGUCGAUGAAGUUGUUGAAUCCGGUGCCAUCUUCUUUCAAGGGGGAAGCGGCCGUGACUGAGCCCGUGUAGAUGACCCGCUUCACCGAACCCGAUUCGUCGCACAACCGUAGGAUUGUGUGGAUCGCAUCAACCGCAGCUUCUGUGGUGUCUUUAUACUGUAUAAGUCAAUUUAAUUAAAUAAUUUUUACGAAUUUAUUAUAUUAAUGCUAUGCUUAAUUAAUUACAAACCCUAAAUAUAAGGAAUUUUACUUUGGCAGUAAGGAAAAUGCUAGGCUUAGCUAUUAUUGGUGGCAUUUUUGGAUUGGAUUGUGUUUUUGGUUUUUAUGCCUCUCUUUACUUGAAAAUUAUGUCUAAAUGCUUAUAUAUAACAUUAAUAUUUAGCAAAAUAAUUUUUUUUUAUAAUAAUUGUGUUAGUAAAUAGGUUUUCUUGUUAAAUAUGUUGUAUUGUGUAAAUUCUUUUUCUUUUUCACACUAUUUUUGCGUCACAUUUGGGUCAAAUAUAUUAUACAUUGGCCGUAUCCGAAAUUGCUAACCCAAAUGCUAUUUAUCAGAUAUAUGUAAAAAAGUUGAGACCACAAAAAGAGGGAAAAAUCAUCUUACUAAUCAAGUGUACUAUUGAUUAGGAGAUAUAUAUAUUGAAUGAGAUGACUUAUCAAUUUACCUUUGGGAUUUUAAUCUCAUUUGGGAACUAUUUGGUAUAUGCGGAGCCCACGGGAAAGCGCAAUACUGCCAAUACAUUAAUUAAUUACCAACUAACCAUAUAUAUAUAUAUAGAAUUAGGUUACUAUACUAUCUACAGUACUGGAGCUCCGGUACUAUAGUUUUGUUUUCGAUCUUAGUAUAUUCAAAUUAACGAUCCAUACCGUUAAAUAUGAUCUAGGGUAUAUGAAAUUCUUAGGAAUAAAAUUUUAAUAUUUUUAGAUAUCGUUUACUUAGUAAAUAAAUUAUGUCAAAAUAGACGGUGGAAAUUGAAUAAUUUUUAAAAUUUGAGCAUAGGACUUUUAAAUUCAAGAUCAAGAAUGUUAACCUUAAUCUAGAUAGUUUAAAAUAUUUUCUAUCAAAAUUUGAAGAAAUUUAGAUUCUUCUACACCGUUAAACUCCAAACUCGCUAUAGUAGCCAUUGAAAAUUGACAAUUUUGAAAUGGUUUGAUCAUAAAGUAAACUAUGUCGAAAAAAUAUAAAAUUUUAUUUCUAAAAAUUUUAAAUACCCUAGAUCAGUUUUAACGGUAUAGAUCGUUGAUUUGAACACCCUCAGAUCGAAAACAAGACUAUAGUUCCGGAGCCCCGGUACUAUAGAUGGUAUAGGAGACUAGCUCUAUAUAUAUAUAUAUAUAUAUAGAGAGAGAGAGAGAGAGAGAGAGAGAGAGAGAGAGAGAGAGAGAGAGAGAGAGAGCUACUAUGCUAUGGAAAGUAUAGAGGAUCUGGUGCUUUCAAUUUUUUGGCCCUUAAAUCAACCCCUUUAAUCAUUUCUAACAUUUGGAUUAAUACUAUUACCCUGUGAGGACCACUCAACCCUAGGGUACUACUCAACUCUGGGGGGACCGUAAUCAUCUGAAUCAUAUAAUUUUUUAUCCAAUGGUAAAAAAGUUGGAAGCAUUAGAUUCUCUAUGCUUCCGAUAGCAUAGUAGCUCUACACACACAUAUAUAUAUAUAUCCAAGCUCUUGGUGCUACCGAAUUUUCUACCGUUAGAUUUAUUUUUUUGAUCAUUUCCAUCCGUUAGAUCAUACUAUUCAACAAACCACCAAUUCAAUCCUAGAAGACCACCAUCAUUCUAACCACACAUUAACCACACAUUAUUUCAUCCAAGAGCCGAAAAUCUAAUAGCACCAAUGACUUGGUGCUAUUAAUAAUAUUCCAGCCAAAUUCUAUAUAGUCAUUAACGCUACUAAUAGUAUGAUCCAUAUAGAAUUUGGCUGGAAUACUAUUAAUAGCACCAAGUCAUUAGUGCUAUUAGAUUUUCGGCCCUUGAAUGAAAUGACGUGCGAUUAACAUAAUAGUGGUCCCUUUAGGGUUGAGUGGUGGUUGGUUGAAUAGUAUGAUCUAACGGAUGGAAAUGAUCAAAAAGAUAGAUCUAACGACAGAAAACUUGGUAGCACCAAGAGCUUGAUACUAUCGGCUAUCCGCCCACUCAACUCUAGAGGACCAUUAUCAUUCUAAUUGCAUAUCGUUGAGUGGUGGUUGGUUGAAUAGUAUACAUUUUAUUAUUUUUAUGUCAAAAUGAGUUCAAUAUACGUUUUGCUACUUUUAACUAUACAAAUAAAAUCAUGGGAAAACUUCAAAAACCCUCCUGUGGUUUCGCACUUUCUCACUUCAGUACCCUGUGGUUUAAAGUGUAUCAAUUUGCCCUCCUGUGGUUUCGUUUUUCUCUUUUUAGUAUCAAUUUUAUUAUUAUUUUUUCUUAAAUCAGUGACAAAGUUAAAAUUAAAGGGUACUAAAGUAAUAUUCGAUAAAUCUAGAUGGGUAUCUGAAGUUUUUUGUACAUAAUUUAACGAAUAUAUUAAGGAAAAAGAUGUCGAAAAGAUAAAAAUAAAACCACAGGAGGGCAAAUUGAUACACUUUAAACCAAAGAGUACUAAAGUGAGAAAGUGCGAAACCACGGGAGGUUUUUGAAGUUUUUCCUAAAAUCAUAGUACAAAAAGUAGAUUUAUUAUUAAUAAUUUUUAUAAUAAUACAAAAAGUGGAGUACAAAUUUCUAGUAUUUUUUAAAAUAAUUUUUAUAUAAAAUUUAUAGAUUUAUUAUUUAUAGUGUAGGGAUUAAAAAAGCCUGUUUAGUGGUGCCUUUAAAAAAUAAAAAAUAGUACAGUACAAAAAGUGGAAAAAAUUCGUAAAGCAAGAUAUAGUAAACAGCGAUUAACCCUAUUUCAGUUUUGUACUACACAAAUAUUUAUGUGCCAUUUGAAGUGGCCCUAAAUAAUAAAGCCCAACAAGUACAAGCAUUGGGCUUGGGCCUGGGUCGGGCCUUAAUUUUCUUAAAGAAUGGGUCAAAGCCCGACCCAAAUCCAUCAUACUUCAAUUUCCCUCAUGCGUCCAGGGAAUCAAUCUUCUAUACUUGGCUGCGUUUGGUUCGGGUAUAAGUAAGAAUUGCUAGUUCCAGGGAUAGGUACAAGUUUAGGUAUAAGCAGGAACUAGACCAAUUUUGCGUUUGAAUAAAAGUUGGGUUGUUCCUAGGUAUAAGAUAAAUAGUGUUUGGAUGAUUAGAUUGGAACAAGAGGAAUAAGAGUUAUAAUUUGAAAUUAAAUUUGUAUUAUGUAAUUAAUUAACAUCAAAAUAUUACUUAAAAAUAAAUAAUAAUUUAAUUAUUAAUAUUUAAUUAUAAAUAAUAAAUUAAUAAUAUUGAAUACCUAAUUAAUUAUAAUAAUAAUUGAUAAUUAUUAAUAAAAAAUAAUUAUUAAUUAUUAUUAUUAUUAAUUAAUUAUUAAUAAUAAAUUAAUAAUAAUAUCGAUUAUCUAAUUUUUAUUAAUAAUAACAUUGAUUAUCUAAUUAUUAUAAUUAUUAUUAAUAUUUAUUAAUAAUAAAUUAGGAGUAAUAAAUUAAUAUAAUUAUUAUCUAGUUAUUAAUAAUUAAUUAUAAAUAAUAAAUUAAUAAUAAUAUCGAUUAUCUAAAUUAUUAAGGAUAAUAAUUAUUAAUAAUUAUUAAUAAAUAAUAAUAAUUAUUAUUAAUUAUCAUUAAUUAAUUAUAAAUAAUAAAUUAAUAAUAAUAGCGAUUGUCUAAUUAAUAAUUAUUAAUAACUAAUUAUAAAUAAUAAAUUAUUAAUACAAUCGAUUAUCUAAUUAUUAAGGAUAGUAAUUAUUAAUAAAUAAUGAUAAAUAUAAUUAUUAAUUAUUAAUAAUUAAUUAUCACUAAUAAAUUAAUUAUUAUAAUUAUCUAAUUAUUAUUAAUUAAUUACAAAUAAUAAGUUAAUUAAUUACUUAAUUAUUAAAGUAAUAAAUAAUAAUUUAAAUAUAUUAAUUAGAUUAAUUAAUAAUUUACUAUCAUGAAAAUUAAAUUUAGAUUUUAAUUAAUCUUGUUCUCAUCAAGGAACAAGCUUGUUCCAGUAAAAAGGUGGAACAGUAAUUUCAGCCUUAUACCGGCUUGUUCUUAAAAUCCUAGAAACACUGUUCCCGGGCAACAAAUAUUGCGUUUGGGAACAAAGAGGGAACAAGGGCUUAUUCCCCCCCCCUUGUUCCCCAACCAAACACUACCCUAUAGAAUAACUUGCGGAAUACAAAACAGAGGGACAUAUGUUUCUAACCCAAGAUCUACAACUUCCAUCUGAAUAAACUUAUAAAUUGAGUAAUUAGAAUUUAAAGUAUGCGAUGUAAUGAAUGAUUGAAUGAAAGUUAUACCAGUACGUACAAAGAUGCACGAAUAGCGAGAAAUAAGAGAGUAAUUGAAAGUCACAUUAACGAGUGCAAGGAUGGAUGAAAAGUGAGAAAAGAGAGAGAGAGAGAUCUAAAGGAGUGUUUGGUUUCUCGAAAGACACUCUCUUUUACUGAAAAACACUCUCUUUUACUGGUUUUUUUUUAUAAUAAAAAAUUUGAAAGUAAAAAUGCUAGUUUUUUUUGUAGAAUAUGAGGGAAAAAAAUUAAAAAAAAUUGCCUUUUCCAUCAACUAAAAGAAUGGAAGUUACUUUUUUUUAGCCAAAAAAAUAUUUUUUAAAAUAUUUUUGAAAAAAUAAACACCCCCUAAGUGUCUAAAAGUGGCACCAAGGAGGCAAGGAUGCAACCUCUCUGUAGGAGCUUCUUAACAAGCCAAGAUCCCAGCUUGGAUCAACAGAGUGGUUUAAAACUAAUUCUGUUACUAUGCCCUUCAAAACAUUGAUAUCUUACAAAAAAAGAAAAAAAAAAAAAACUUCAGCAUAAUCUAAACUGUUUUUUAGCAUGAACCGAUCGCCCCUAAUAUAAGUGGCAAAAAGUUUGGUGAUUGAUAUCCGAAGUCACAAAUUUGAAUUCUAGUUGAUUCACAUUUUCAACUAAGUUUAUUUCUAAAAAAUAAACGAAACAGAUAGAAUGCUUCCUUUUUCUCUCAAAAAAUCCAUCCCCAGACACUGAAAUGGCAAUUAUUUUGAUUUUCAUUUCAAGCCGAAAACUUUUCCGACUACAUAACACAACAUAAUUAGUACUUAUUCAAACAAAGAUUAAGUUUAGGAGAUCCACCACCAACCUGAGAGCUGCAGGGGCUGUGCUGGAGUGGAGUGGCCACAAGGAAAACAAAAUCACAACCUUUGAUUGCUGGUUCAAAAGAUUUGGAGUCAUAUAUGUCAGCCUCAAACAGAGAGAGCCUUCCUUCUGAUUCUGGAAUGUUCUUCAAUAGCCCACACUUGGACUUAUCUCCUGCAGCAAUAAUUUAGAUCAUAUUCAUGAUCAUCAAAUGUAAUGUGUAAUAACUUUUGGACUAAAGGGUAAAAUACUCUCAACUAUUAGUUCAUUAGAAGUAAUUAUAAUGGUAAAAAAAAAAUGAAAAUUAAGUGUAGAGGGAGAGAGAGAGAGAGGACCCAAGUUUCUGAUUGUGGCAUGAACCUGGUAGCCUUUUUCCAACAGCUUCUUCACAAGCCACGAUCCAAUAUACCCAGAAGCUCCAGUUACACAUACUUUGCUAAUUCUCUCCUCCAUAUCUCUCUCUCUCUCUCUCUCUCUCUCUCUCUCUCUCUGUUUAUGUGUUUUUGUGAUUGUAUAGAAAAAUAGAGAAAGGAUGAGUAGUGCACGGCCAGCAAUGUUGCUAUAAAAGAUCGUACGUACUAGGAAAUGCCAAUGGCUAGGGAUACCCAAGACUCAACUGUUUGGUUCGGGAUCAAGGGAUGGAAUAAUCUCUUAAUCCCAAAGUUAUUUCCAAAUAUCUAAUUUGGGGGUGGAAUCUCACCCUACCCCAACCAAAUACUAUUUUCUAUUUAUAAUAAUCCACUAUCAUUCUUAUCCCAUCUUCUCCAACCAAAUACUAUUUUAUCUAUAUCUGGACUAAAUCCAAUUCUCAACUAAACACAAAAUUAUUCUAACCCCACCUUAACCCUGAACUUAACCCUAUUCAUGUAAUAAUAAGUUUUUACUUAAUUCCGAACCAAAUGGUAUAUAAACAGAGCAGGUUUAACUGGUACUAAACGGAUAUGAUUUCGGUUAUAAACAUAAGGAACAAAAAUUCGAUAAAUUCGAGUUCGAUUAUGGCAUUUGUCUGUAAUCAAUCCGAACCUGAAUUUGAAACUAAACACGUAUAAAACCUAUUAUAUAUAUAAUAAACUUUCUUAGACAUUUACUUUAAUAAUUAAUAUAUAUUAAUGGUUUAGUUUUAUAUUUAGUUUAUUAAAUAGUCGAGUUUGAUUUUUAAAUUGCAAGCACGAGUUUUAGUUUCUUUUUAAUUUUGUCGGAUUUGAAUUUUUAUAUCCGGUCGAGUUCGGGUACAGUUUUGGAUGUCAGUUCUUUAUUCAGGUUUUACUAAAAUUAUUCAAAAACCAACCUGCCCGUAUCCCUAAUAGGAAAUCACCCCAUCAGAUUAACAUUAAAAAGAGAGAGAGAGAAACUAUACCCGAGCCAAACGGGGUGUAAGAGUAAAAUGUAUAUACAAUUUAACGUGUCAUGUACUUUUAUUAGUUUCUAAGCAUUGAAAAUAUAUUAAUUUUUUAUGAAAGGCCUCAUCAUAAUUUUUUUUCACAAAAUUUAUAAUUACAAAACUAGUCCUAUCCCCACCACACAAGCGCCACGUCAGCAGCCGGAUGACAUAAGUUGAACACAAUGAAUCAUUUGCCAAGUUUAGACACGAUAAAUGAUUCACCAUAUUUAAGUUAAAAUAUAUUGCAAUACUAUUUGAGUUCUUUUGCAUUAUGGGGUUGGCUACUGUUCAGCUCAUCCAAACACGGUAAAUAAAUAAUUCACCGUACUUAAAUAUCGUGAAUCAUUUACCGUGUUCAACUUAACUCUCCACAGUCGCUGACAUGACGUUUAUAUGAUGCUUGCGUGACGGGAAUAGAGUCAAUUUUAUAAUUAUAAAUUUUGUGAGACUAGUUGUGAAAAAAAAAAUUAAGAGAUAACCAAAUACGAAAAAAAAGUCCAUUUAUGAAAUGAUGCUAAUUAAUAUACAUUUGUAUAUCUCUUGUGAAAUGUUAACAGGAUUAAAUAAGUUAGACUUUCGGAAUAAAGUGUAGAAUAUUAUAUCUAAUUUCGAAACCUAGAUUAUAAAAAAUAAAAUUAUAAUUACUAAUUUAUAAUUUUGGGAUACUACGAGGACUAUCGAUGUACAUUAGUUGGACACGGUCGGAUUAAGUAGGUGGGUCAAGAGCUCGACCUUGUUUUGUACAAUAAAAACAAGAGCCAAAGAUUUAAAAAUGGAACGUGCGUGUAUUUGGUCACAAAAAUUAAGUUGGCCUCAUCCGGAACAGGUCGUAUAUAUUAAGUAAUCGUGAUUAAUUUAAAAAUUGGCCUCGUUUUGCGCACUGAAACAAAAGGCAAAUCGUGGAACUCGAGGGAGUAUUCAACAUAUUUUGAAAUUUGAAUUAGCAACAAUAAAACAAAACUAAAGUUUGGUAAAGUGAUGGCUAAAAAUGUUAUAUUUAUGCUACAGAAAGCUGUUUAAUAUAUACGACNAAAGUGAUGGCUAAAAAUAUUAUAUUUAUGCUACAGAAAAUUGUUUAUAUAUAUAUAUAUAUAUAUAUAUAUAUAUCAUAAAAUUGUCGUUGGAACCACAGCUGAAAAAGGAUAUAGCCAUAUUCUUUUCUGUUGGUAGUUACAACUGCAAGUUUGAAAUGUUGUAGGAAGGAAAGAUUUAAAAGCAUUUUCAACUUUUUUGAGCUUUUAAUAAUAUUAUCAAAUUAGGUCUAAAGUUAUCCUGGGUUGCUGCUCCACCACGUAAUUCCUAUAAAUUUUUUUUGCAAAGUGUUAUCAGUUUAAGACCCUUUUGAAUUAUAUAAGAAGUAUAUAGUGUUUGGUAGAUAAUAAGUAUAAUAAAAUGUCCAUAAUAGAUAACAAAUUUGGCCCUCAAGGUAUUUUCUUCAUAUUAAAUUAUAUCACCUUAUACAUGAAAUUUACUAUCCUAUUAAUUAAAUUAUGAAUGCACAAGAAAAUUUGUAUAUAACAUUAGCUAUUAUGGAAUGUUUGAUUUUGACUCAAACAGGACCUAAAUAAAUAAUUAUCUCAUAUUGUAUCAAAGCAGAAGGCUGUAGUUCCUUCGUAACUUUUCGAGAUAAAUAACAGAUUUCCAAAGUUUGCAGGAAAAUAUGCGAAAUGCAAAAAAACUAAAACCAAAUAUUAUGGAAUGUUUGAAAGGUGCAGAUGAUGAAAGUUGCCGACCCAAUGCAUUAGUUAUGGACUUUUUUUGCAAAUAGCCCCCUGACAAAUUUUAUUUGCAAAAAUAGUCCCGUCCAAAAAUUAUUUGCAAAAAUGGCCCUGUCCCUGCCACGUCAGCGCCACGCGGGCAGGGCGGACCCAGGUGUUUAAGUUGAACACGGUGAACCAUUCACCGUAUUCAAUAUAAAAUUUUUGUAUUGAACACGGUGAAUGUCCAAUACAAAUACCCCAACAAUGAUUAAGUUGGAGGUAUUUGUAUUAGACACGGUGAAUCAUUCAUCGUGUCCAAUUAUUUGUAUUGGACACGGUGAAUGGUUCGCCGUGUCCAAUACAAAUAUUUCGAUCUUAGCUAUUUUGUAUUGGACACGGUGAAUCAUUCACCGUAUCCAAUACAAAAACUUUGUAUUGAACACGGUGAAUGGUUCACCGUGUUCAACUUAACCAUCUGACUCAGCCCUGCCCGCGUGGCGCUGACGUGGCGCUUGCAUGGGAGGGCCAGGGCCAUUUUUGCAAAUAAAUUUUUGACAGGGCCAAUUUAAAAAAAAAAAUUUGUAAGGGGGCUAUUUGCAAAAAAAGCUCUUAGUUAUUUAUGGCCCUUUUUUACUUUUAGAAAAGACUAAUAAGAAUUUCAUUAUCAUGACCAUUAGGACUAAGAUCUUAAGAAGUGAUCAAUGAUUUUUGGGUCCACAGCUGUUUUUUUUCUCUCUUUUUUUUUCACUUUUUGGUUGAGAAUGCGGUUGAAAUGGCGAAGGUGGGAGGUUGAAGCCGGCGACCCCAUCCGACGUUUGGGUGACGAAGCUGGACGGAAAAGUGCGAUGCCCGUGAGAGAAGGUCGUACGCUCUGGGACGAUCAGAGCUCGCGACUUCAUCUCCUACUCAGCAGAUGUCGUACUCAGAAGUUCAUCCAAUCAAACACACCCUAAUGUCAUGGCUUUAUCAUUUUUGUUAGCAAAAGUCUAUACUGCACCCAUCUUUCUCCGCAAAAGUAAGCAAGUUUUUAUUUCUGUUGCUAGUCCGGAUCUUCGUGUUCUACGACCAAGUAUGCGAAGGGAUGAAAAGAGAGAUAGAGGUUAAUCCAAAAAAAUUAAGUACUCUUAAUUAUUUAGAAAAGAGAAUUACAUACACACACUAUUGUAUCUUUUGGCUUUAACCACACCUACGUUUAUAGGCCUAGAAAUAUAAUGACUUUAGCUAGCAUAAUUCAUCCACUAACUCUCUCAUUAACCCACAUAAUGAGCUCUUAUAACUUAUGGUAGUUUUUUUUGAGUGAUAAUGAUGCAUAAUGACAGCAGUUUUGCAACCCUUUACUCUCCCACAACAGUCUGAAUUCGGGUCUUUUUAACAAUUCGGCUCAAGCAGUUUUCAGCUUGCGGAGUUGGCCAGGAACCGGACUGCACAGAAUUUUUUAAAAUCCCUAACAGUAAGCUCCUUUACAAGUAGCGGUUGAGCCUAAUGUUUGAAAAACCGGAUCGAGCUUCAGUUUGACUACACUUGGGAUCGACCCACAUUUAUGGACCUGUGGCCCAUCAAUGGUCCUCUGGCCAGCAUGGACCGGGUGUAAAGGCCUCUGUUGUUGGGUCGGUUAUGGAGUGUGGUUUCAGAGGCGAACAAUGCUCUAAUUGCGUACUAAGCAAGUGGUUGUAAAUUUUACACUCUAUUCAUCGUUUAAUAGUUUCUUACUAAUCUUAUUAAUCCUUUUCUAAAAAAGAUUAUUAAAUAUCUAAAAAGUGUGUUUAAAUUUUUGAAUGGAUAAAUAUAAAAGUUACACCUUUUUUUUUUAUGUACAAACAAUAUUUCCAACAAAAAAAAAAGAUAAAAUGAAAAGAAAAGGUUUUGGUGCAUUAAAUUCUCCAUAAAUCUGAAAUUAAUUAUAACUCCACCAUCAACUACUACUAGUGAAAUACCCGCGCGAUGCUGCGGAUUUAAAAUUUAUUUUAAUAAAUUUUAGUUUUUUAUAUUUUUAAAUAAUUUUAUAAGUCUAAUUAUUAAUUAAAUAAAAGUUAUAUAAAAAUAAUUUAAUAGUUAAUUUUAUUUAAAUAAAAUUUAUUAAAACGACAACUUAUUUUAUAAAGAUUUAUGCGAAAAAAGAUUUGUGAUAAAUAUAUCAAAAUAAUUUUAAAAAAUAAAUAGAAAGGAGAAUAAUAUGAGUGGAAAAUUGUUUAAUAAAAUUAAUUAUAUAUAUACAGCAUACGCCACCUAUAUUCUAUAAAUCUUACUCCUCAAAUUUAAAUUAUGGUUAUUGUUUUUAUAUCAGACUCGCCGAGAAAUCAAAGUAUUAAUUGUUAUUAUCGCAUUAUCACGUGUAUUAUUAAUAAUAUUAAUUAAUUAUAGUUAUCAACUACAGAUUGAAUAUUCAUUAAUAAAAUAAAUUAAUUAAUUAAUUUUCAUAGAGUCUAGAGAUUAAAAUUUUAAAUUGUGAAGUUAAAUUUAAAAAAUAAAUAUUACUAAUAUUAAAUUAAAAUUUAACAUUUAAAAUUUUGAGUAUCAAAGAAUUUAAAUAAAUUUUGAUAAUAUACCAUAUUAUAUGAGUAAUAUAUAUAUAUAUAGUAGUAGGUACCCUAUAACGUAACAAAAUGAUAUAUCCCCGUAUGCUCAUUAUGUUUUACAUAACCUAUAUGUGGGAGAGAGAGAGAGUGGAGAGAGAGUAAAGGGGGUUUGGAUGCCGACAUGCCUGCGUGGUGCACCCCGAAACAGGUCCCCCCCAAAACCCUAACCUUUAAUGUAGACCGAAAUAUUGCGACUUCGUCUCGGAUUACCCACACUCCUAAACUCUCAACUAUAUUUUUAUACAUCGAUCAAUAUUAAUUUUAUUAGCGCAUUUUAUUAGCGUGUAUUGAUUAAUAAUAUUAAAGUUUAAUUAUAUUAUAUACAAUGACUUAUUAAUAAAACUUAAUAUAAUUAAUUAAUUUCAAUUAGAGUUGUUAGAGAUUCAAAAGAAUUUAAAUUUUAAAGGUUAAGAUUUGAAAAUAAAUUAUAAAGAUCUCAAGAUUAGAAAUUUAAUGAAUCUCAAAUAUUCUGAACCAGUACAGAAAUUUUAAAUUUCGCAUUAUAAUAUUAUAUAUAGAUAUAUAUGGUUAUAUCCAGAGAGAGAGGAUGGAGAGACGAGUUCAAACAGGUGACGCGUUGUUGGCUGCAGCGCUGGUCUCCACACCCUGUGUCCACUGCCAUAUGUCCUCCUCCCAACAGAGCCGAGGUCACCGCUAAUGUUGAGCAGACAAACGAUUGUCAUAUGUUAAAGUUAUCUCCAAUCGGUCAACAGAUGAGGCUAAAAAGUGUAAAGACGCUAUUUUCAUAUUAUUUGUAGAUUUCUUGUAAAUUCGUAUUCUAAUCCUACUAAAAUUUUAGCUGAAUCCGGCUUUUCUGGCAUCCCCACUUUCACCCGAAAAGGAUCCGAUAACAACCUAUGCACUACCAACAGAGAAAAAGAAAACAAAAUCUUUUGUGCAACAUCUUUUCAAAUUAAUUACUAGCAAUUAAAAACACUUGCCCAAAAGUUGGAUACUAGUGGUGGAAGUUACCUAAUAGAAUUGGCGAACUCACCGUGCAUUAUUGAUACAAGUUCGGCUGUUAUACUAUCAGUAGUACAAAACUCUGUACUAUUAAGUUGUUUUCGAUAAUAGAAUACUCGAAUCGACAAACUGCUUUCUUAGAUAUGAUUAAUACUAUUGAAAAUUGUUACAAACUAAUAUAUAUUUUCGAUAUUAUUUGACUAAUGAUCAAAAGAUUCUAAAAUAGAUAAUUUUAAUGACUGAUAUAAUCCAUUUGUAAGUUUAAACGGUGUAAAACAAUUUAAAUUCAGUGAAGUCUAAAUUUUUUUUACUAUUUACAGCAAGAUCAGUGCCUCUAAUUUAAAAUUUAAGCGUUUUAUAAUUAAUUUUUAUAAAUUUUUUUAGUUGUUUAUUUUGAAACUAUUCAUUUUAUAGAUAAAUAAUGUCGAAAAAUAAAAAAAAAGUUAGUUUCUAAGUACUUUCAAUAACGUAGAUAAUAUCUAAUGAAGCCAAUCGUUGAUUCAGAUAUCUCAUCAUUGAAAAUAAUUUGGUAACACGAAGGACUCCAUGCUGCUAAUAGUAUUAUUAUAACCUAAUUAUUAUUUUCAAUAGCUUGAUUUUAAAAUAGUUAACCAUUUUCAAAUAAUAGCAGAGUGAAAGUUAGGUUUUAAGUUCAAACUCCAUGCAAGGAAGACAAUGGAAUACAAAAUAUACAAAUGUUUAUGAUUUAAAUAGUGAAUUAUGCUUAAAUGUAUCACAAUAUUUAAUUGGAAACUUCUUUUAACAUGAUAAAAGAUACUUCUCAAAUCACUAGCAAAGGUGCAUCCACCUUUAGAACAAUCUUUAUAAAAUAAAAGAAAUAAUAUUAAUUUCUUUUUUUUCCCCAAUAUAAAUCCAACGAGUCCAUUUCAUUGUGCCCACACUUUAUCCUCUCUUUGAAAACUUUGCUAUCUACGCGGCCCCACCUCACCUCGUUUGUUGAAAAGUCACCGCAUAACCAAACACAAAUUGAAAACAAUACCAUAACAGUGACAAAGCACUAAUUAUUGUUAAUAAUAAUGAGAAUAUAAAGUUUCAAAGUAGAAACAGUUUGCUUCCACUACUUCUAGAAGAUAACUGUGGGUUUGGUUUGCGUCAUGUAACGUUAUAGUUAUUUUGACAUACCAGAUAUUUAAAAUUUUUAAAAUUUAAAAUUAAAAUUUAAAAUCUGAUAAUUUAAAAAUUUUAAAUUAAAAUUUUAAAAAUAACGUAUUAAAAGGAUUUGAGGGUUUAGAGAAAUAAACUUGUAAUUAUACAUAACAUGUAAAAUAAUUCGUCAUUAGUAAUACAAUAUAGCCACCAUGUUCGGUAAUAUUUUUUGAGUGAUCUUGUACCAUUUGUAAUACUAUAUUACUUACUAAAUUACAGACUGAAUGAAUCAAAUGUGAUAAUCUUGAUAGGAUUAUCACACCCUAAAAAAAUUAUUAUAUUUUAAAAAUUUUAGUUUCUACUUACUGAUAUAAACCUUGAUGUUUCGAAAACUUAAUAAUUUGAGUAGCAUUAUUAAUAAGUUGACUUUUUUUAUUGACGGAUAGAUACUAAAUUAUAUUUAAUUUAUUUUAUUUAAUAUAUUUAUAUUGAAAAUAAAUAUGGUGACAUCAUUAUCCCAUUAUAUUUUCAAUUCUUUUUUUUUGUCCAAUUGUGCACUUAAUGAACAUAAACAUAUCAUAAGUAAUCAUGCAAUACUCAUACAAUAUAUCUAACAUACCCAAUGCCGCCACGAGAUCGAAAAGUUUAACCCGUUUGACGGCAAUCUGAUGGGUCGUCUGGACUGAGUGCAACAACACUAUCUUCCGCAAGGUGCUUCCCAAUGCUACCCGGGCUCUUGAACGUGUCGCUUCUUUGACCAAUGCCUGGAACGCAGCCCUUUGAUCCUUGCUUGUCCCUUCUUCCAUGCUCGGUCCCCAUUUCUUCUUUUUCGUUAUCCACCCAAUUUUUCUUGUUUAUUUUGUCUAAUCGAUAGGUGUAGAGUUCUUUAUUUUGGAUUUUCUUUCUUGUAUUUUUUCGGCUCUUUCAGGAGGUCCUAGCUGUCUCCAUCAUGUACGCUUAGUUCAUUUCGCUUAAUGAAUGAAGCAAGUAGUUUGCUACCUAUUUCUAAAAAAAAAAAAAAGAAAAAAAAAAGAAGUUGCUUUUUACCUUUGUCCCCACUAAUUUCUGGUAAUUGGUUUUGGUCUCCCCACUCAUGUAGCCGUUGUGGCUCAUCCGAGUUGUUGGGACCCCCACAAAGUGCUCUCAAUGGAAUUUUGCAUGAGACCCCACUGAAGUAUCUCAAAUUAGGAACAAGGCUCUAACAACUCAUUUAAUAUCUUAUCAAAAAAAAAAAAAAAAGUGGUGAGAAUGAUGAUGAAAAAUUGCAGUGUGGAGACUUGUUCCAGUGUGAACAGUUACAAUUAAAUUCAUUUAUUGCGCCUUUUUAUUAGUAUGCACAGAUAAAUUUUGAUCAAAGCGAGAUUAGACCAUAAAAUUAGAAAAGAGCGCAGUAGGUUACUAGCUAUUCUAAACAAUAAUAAUAAAAUUGUUUUUUUUAUUUGAGAGAUAGAUAGCACGCCACCCGCUUCGUUUAUUUCAUUUAGAAAUAAACUUAGCUGGAAAUGUGAAUCAACUAGGAUUCGAACUUAGUUCUCGGAUACCAACCACUAAGUCCUUUGCCACAUUCUCUAGGGACGGUCGGUAAUAAAAUUGUUGUGAGACAUAAAAAUGUUGUCUAAACUAGAACGAUGGUGCGCUUGCAUUUUGAUAUGAUUUAUCACUUCUCAGUUGUUGCUAUAUGAUAAAUCAAUCAACUUAAUUAUAGUGGAGUGCACGUUUUUGAAAAAGUAUAACUAUUGGAAUCUUGUAUUAACUUAGUUGACUAUUUAUAUCACAAUCACCAAAUAAGUUAAUGAUAUAUAUAUAUAUAUAUAUAGAGAGAGAGAGAGAGAGAGAGAGAGAGAGAGAGUUGAGCUAGAAUACUCUCAAAAGCACUAAGGGGUUGGUGUUUUUGAGUUUUUAAGCCAUUUGAUCGAGAGAUGUAAGGUUGAGAUGAUGGUGAUAGGUGGUGGUGGAUGGUAGUGAGUGGAAUAGUGUUUGAUCCAAAUGUUAUUAGUAAUCAAGGAGUAGAUCUAAGAGCUAGAAACUCAAAAGCACCAAAAAUUUGAUGCUUUUGAGAGUAUUCUAGCUCAAUUCUAUAUAUAUAUAUAUAUAUAUAUAUAUUGAGUCUGGCUACUAUACUUUUGUGAGUAUUGGUUCUCUUAUACUCAUAAAUUUUUGACUCUUAGAUUUAUUUCAUUAAUCAUUUUUAUCUGUUAGAUCAUACUAUUUAAUCAAUUAUCCACUCAACCUAGGGGACCAAUAUCAUUUUAAAUGGGGACCACGAUCAUCCUAACCACACAUCCCAUCAAUCAACAGUUAAAAAUUUAUGAGUAUAAGUGGGUCUAUACUCAUAAGAGUAUAGUAGCCCCAGCAUAUAUAUAUAUAUAUAUAUAUAUAUAUAUAUAUAUAUAUAUUCUUGAUGUCAAGUAGGCCUUUAGUAGUGUCCUAAUUUAUUGGAUGAAAAUGUAAUGGAUAUGGAUCCAAUAGUACUCAACUCAUAUCCAUAUCCAUCUAUUUUUGUCUCAUCUGAUAUGGACUCGGAUUAUGAUUGAAUAUUAAAAUUAAAAUUCACGUCCAGUGAAACAGUUCGGAGUUGGACGUUGGAUUUUUAAAGGAUAUAGAUAUGAAUUGAAUAUUUGUGAAAUAUUUAAAACUAAAGGCAAAAAGAAUUAAUCAAUAUAUAUGUAAGCUUCUUAAUUUGUAUUAAAAAAAGUUAGAAAUAUAUUAAAAAACUUAAGAAUUCUAAAAAACAUUAUAAAUGGAUGUAAAGAAGAUGUAACAUAUUGUGGGAAAUAUAUCAAAACCAGUUUCGAUUUCGGAUAAUUUAAAUCUGAAUCCAAAGAACUAUAGUAAAUCUAAAUCCGAAUCCAAAAAAUAUUCUAAGCUUAAAAUCUAAAUCUAGAUCCAAAUCUGAAUUUAAGUCGAAUAUUCNACAUCAGUCCAAGCGAAGGCUACUUUAAAUUAUUAUUUUCCUUGAUAUUAAUAUAAGUGUGUGUCUCCUAAUACUAGAAACCUUAAGUGCAUGUUCUCCUAAUUAGAAAUUGACCAAUUUAAAAUGGUAGUUAGCAUUAUUAGUAAAUAGAGCUGACGCUAUAAUGAUAAGAAAUAUGGACUAUAUAUAAUUGAUGAAUAAUGAAGAAUUAUUAAAUAAGUGAAACAAUAUAGUCUUAACAUACCAAAGUGGAUUGAGGAAUGAGUGUAAUGAGUGUAUAAGAUUUGUUCUACAAACAUUAAUUAGUUUUUGAUUGAGAAAACCGACCGUUCCUAGAGCAAGUGGCAAAGGACUUGGUGGUCGGUAUCCGAGACCCAAGUUCGAAUUCUAGUUGAUUUACAUUUCUAGCUAAGUUUAUUUCAAAAUGAAAUAAACGAAGCGGGUAGCGUGCUACCUAUCUCUCAAAAAAAAAAAAAAAAAAAAAAAAAAAGUUUUUGAUUGAGAAAGAGAGAUAUUGAUCAAUAAUCUCAAUUUAGUUUAUACAUCUUCUUUAGGUGUUCUGAAUCAGAUUUGAUGAUUUUGAUUUACAUUUCAAGAUUUGAGAUUUGAAUAAUUUUGUACGCAGGGCAACACAUUUGAAAUUUCUUCCUACUACAGUGUACCUUAGUGUAGCCUACAGGCAUAAAAGAUGCACAAAGUUUUUCUAAAAAAACAUGCAUGCCAUGAAAAAGGAAUGGGCGACUUAGAAAUUUAGUCUUUUGAAACUUGAUUUAAAUUUCAAUUUUGUCCUACCAUCUAGUUGCAGUUACAUUGAAUGUUUGACCUUGAUUUAGUUUGGUCAUAAAAGUCAACAACCCUAAACUGGAAAUUGUUAUGUAAAUCAAAUUAGAAAGAUCCCAAACUAAAUAUGUAACCAACAAAAAUGUAUGUACCUGUACGAAGAGGUGUUAACCAACCACAAAUAUGCAGGACAAUAAUAACCGAUUGGAGUUUUGUUCAGGAGCGAUGGAACACGAGGGCCGCACGGGUCAAAUGCGAAGCACGGAGGUGCGAAGCAUGGACGUGCGGGGUGUCACGCUGAGGUGCUGAUGUUGGGGGCAAGCGAGCUUGUGGCUCACGGGGUUAGCUUUUUCGCCUCAAAAUUCCCCGCGCGGCGCUCAAGUGUCGCACAUCCGAGCCAGCCUUCUCGAGUCCCUUACGCGGAUAAGUCUCCCAGACUCCUCGGCGUGCCUCCCUUUAGCGUUCCUAUCGAGUCUUGCCUUCUUGGCCUUCGUGGGCGCCGCGUUACAGGCGAAGGGUCGGACUGUAAGUCUCGGGGAGGAGCAAGCUUGCUAUGUGACUUUUUUUUUUUUUUAGGAUUAAAUGUACACAGGGACAUACAAAUAUAAUUAAUUACAAAUAUAUUCUUAUAAAUUUCAACUUUCAUAUAUUGUCCCAACAAAAUUUUAAUUUUUUCAAAUAUAUAUGUCUGGUUUGUUACCGUUAAAAAACUAUUUAUAUUUUACCAGCAAAUAAGUGAAAUAUCAAUUUUGCCAUCACAAAUAUUGUCGGAUUAUUGGCGCUAACCUUUAAUCCCAAAAGCUCAAGUUAUUAGAAAUACGCAACCAAUUCAUUUAAAGCGUACAGAUACAGCGCCCACGGUUCUCGAUUAUGACUCGGCCCAACCAGCCUCACACCAUUUCGAACAUGACUCGGCCCACUCAGCCUCACGUCAUUUCGAACAUGACUCGGCCCAAUAUGGCCUUCUACCUCAGGGCAGGAUGCUAGUCCAUUUAAGCCAACAAAUAUGUCUCAUCAAAAGACACAACAGUCUAAUAUAAGAGGGAAAAAAACAUUAAAUUAACUCAUAAACUAACCAGAGUUAAAUAUUUAACCUAUAGUUAACUAAAUUUUCUAACGUAUUAUAAAAGCAGGGACAUAUUUGAAAAUAUUAGGAUUUUUGUAGAGACAAUAUAUGAAAGUUAAACUUUGUAUGAAUAUUUUUGUAAUUCACUAUGUUUGCAAUUAACCCCCUUUUUUUAUAAACUCUCCUUUUACGUUUUUUUUGUUUUUAUUUAACUUCCUUUCUACUUCUUUUCUUGUUUUUUUUUCCUCAUUUUAAAGGGUGUAAUUUUCGUUUAAAUAAUAUAAUUUAUAUUUCAAAGAGUCCAACUUACGUCUAUAAUUGUGUAACGUUCUUCUAAAAUAGUGUAACUUUAUUUUAACAGUACAAUUUAAUCUUUUUCUUUCUUCUUCUCUAGUUAUUUUUCCUUAUUCUUUAGUUUUUAAUUUUUAGUUAAUUUUUUUUUUGUUUUAAGCAAAUAAAAAUAUUUGAUCAGAGAUACUCCCAUGCAUCCCCUUCCCUUUUCGCCUUCAACCCGCUGAGGCCGCGCUCGCUAUUGCCCUCUGGAAUGUCACGCUCACCGCCACCCCGCCCUCUACUCCAGCAUCAUCACGGUCUCCUCCGUCUCCACCUCGCUCGUCACCGGUGCUGGAUGGGCAUGGUGGGUCACGUACCCCCUCCCUCGCCAGCGAGCUUCUUGGCGCCGAGAAGCACAUCCUUUUCGUCGUCGUCAGCGGCGGUGGUGAGGACGGUGGGUUUUCAGAAAUGGAUUUGGUGGGUGAAAAAUUUAUUGCGGUGGAGGUGGAGGUGAAGGUACGUUGCGAAUGGCUGCAGAGGUGGUGGAGGAGGUUCGGAGAGAAAAAAAAAUGAUUGUGGCGCAGCAUCGAUGAGGUCGCAGGCGAGGGCGCAUAGGGCAGAUGCAAGGAGUGGCGUCCUAUAAGGCGGCUGCGAGUGCAGCCUUAGUGAGGUCGAAGGUGAGGAAAGUAGGUGGUGCACGAACGUAGGCGAGGACGCGGGGGACAGAGAUGAGGUGGCCGCCUCCGCUUCCGCCCGAAGAGCUCACUCUUCGGAGAGGAAAAAAAAAACAAAGAACGAGAGAAAAAAAAAGAGAGAGAGAGAGAAAGGAAUAAGUAUAUUUUGGUCACUUUUCUGAAAAUUCGAUUCAAAUCUAAAAAUCGAAAAAGAAGGUAUAGUUUUGCAAAAACUCAAAAUUUUAAAUUUUUUACGCAAAUUGGCCAUCUACAAAAUCCAAAAUGAUAGUUAUUUUUGAAAAACCUCAAAAUUAAUAAAAAAUUUGGCCUGUAACACAUAGUAUGUUAUUUUUUAAAAAAAAUAAAAUAAAAAAAGAGAUUGUGGAGGACAAUAACUAACACUUGAGACCCCGCAUUGAAUUUAAGACAGUGGUCCGCUGUCGCGUUCUACAAAGCUAUCCCACCACUGCACACAAUCCCAAGUCCCCAAGGCCCCGAAACUCCUCUAUAUAUAUAUAUAUAUAUAUAUAUAUAUAUAUAUAUAUAUAUAUAUAUANACCUAACGCAUGUGAACUCUCCGUUUUACUCUAAACCUUCACAGUCACCGUCCAUAUAUAUCACACACAAUUUAAUAACAAUGUACAACAUUAUUACCAUGUCGCUGGACAUGGACAGCAAAUUAAGGGGGGGUGGGGACUCAUGACAGGUAAGUGACGCGAGCGUUUCUCGUAAAACUGUAGUCUGUACUCUGUAGAGCAUCCAACUUGGACGGCCGAACUGCUAGUGGGUCGGAACGGAAAAGAAUACACAUGCAGUAGAGAAGCAUGAACCGAACCGAACCGAACCGAACCGAACAGAACUCAGUUUACUUGCUUCCACCUGCCGGCGACUUGGAGGAGCGCCUCGUAGGCGGCGCCGUCCUCGCUGAGGCCCGUCUGGGCGGCCUCCUUGAGCUCCCUCACCUUGGCGCGCACCUUCUUCCCGGCCUCCCCCUCCAUGAGCUCCCUCACCACCUCCGCCACCUCCUCCCUCCCCACCACCGCCGCCGCCGCCGCCCGCUUCGGCCGCAGCGCCGCGCCGACGCCGCCCACGAGCACGAUGGCGUUCUGGCGCUGCUCGGCGUAGAGCGGCCACGCGAUCAUGGGCACGCCGCUCACCACGCUCUCCAGCGUCGAGUUCCAGCCGCAGUGCGUCAGGAACCCGCCCGUCGCCUCGUGGCCCAGCACCCGCAUCUGCGGCGCCCACGACGACACCACCUUGCCCACCCGCUUCGUCCGCUCCGCGAAGCCCUCGGGGAGGUACGCGAACGGGUCCCCCUUGCUCUCGGCGUCGUAGUACGCCGCGCUCACCUCCCCCUUGUCGCUCGGGCUCCGCACCACCCACAGGAACCGCUGCGAGCUCAUCUCGAGCCCCAGGGCCAGCUCCCGCAUCUGCUCCGUCGUGAGCGUGCCCCCGCUCCCGAAGGACACGAAGAGCACGGACCCGGGGGGCUGCUCGUCCAGCCACGCGACGCACCCGGCCGGGUCGGGGCCGGCCGGGUCGGCGCUCUGGACCAGCGGCCCGACCGGGUAGACCGGGGGCCGGGCCGGGUCCUCGGCCCGGAGCGCGGCGGCCGGGCCGGGCUCGAUCGCCUCGAAGGUGUUGACCAGGAUGCCCCGGGCCUCGCGGUAGCGCGCGCCGUGGUGGACCAUCCAGCGGUAGCACUCGUUGGAGCGGUCCUGGAGCGGGUCGAGGAUCUCGGAGCCCGGGAUGGGGACGCAGCCGGGGAGCUCGACGGGGCCCGGGAGGUCCCGGAACUCGCAGGUGGUGGACGCGUCGAGGGAGGGGAGGUGGAGCAGGAGGGAGAGCAGGUGGAGGUUGGAGGGGAAGAAGAGGUAGCCCGGGACGCCGACCUCGCGCGCGGCGUCGAGGGUGUCGGCGCCGAAGAGGUCGGCCACGAAGGCGACGAGGCGGGUCUCGGCCUUGAGCCCGCGGAGGAGCGCGGCGAGGGCGGGGACGGAGCGCGCGGCCUCGUGGGACAUGAGCGUCUCGAUGUGCGCGUCGGCGGGUAGGUCGUCGAGGGGCACGGGGGGGAGCGAGAGCGAGGAGAUGGAGCGGGGGAGGGACGAGAGGAACGCCCGCUGCGUCUUGCUCGCCGUGCUCGCGAAGGUGACGAUGGUGACGGAGAAGCCAUGCGGGGCCGCCACGAGGCGCUUCGCGAGCUCCGCGAGCGGGAUGAGGUGCCCCAUCCCCGGGGUGGGGAGGAGCGCGACGUGGGGCGUCGGAGCUCUCGUCCCGUUCUCCAUGGCAGGAGGAGGAGCUACUGAGCGCGGUUGAAGAAGAAGAAGAAGAAGAANGAAUAGGAGGAAAUUAAUACGGUCGUGCGUAAUAUAUAAUUGGGGGUUGGGGCAGUGUACAUGUGUGGUUUUGGAAUCGGUUUAUAUACACGUGCGAGAGAGGAGGGGGCGUGGGGAGUUAGAGCCGUGUGGUGUUGGGAGUAGCAAACUAGCAAUAGAGAGAGAAGAGAGAGAAAGAGGGUGCUGAUGUAAGAGGGGCGUAAUGCUUAGGUAUUACAAGUGGGACCCCCCCAUAAAGGAUCUUUUUCUCGGGUCUCUAGAUCGAAGAUAAAAAGAAAAUGGCCACAGCUCACCAAAUAAGAAGAAGGGCGAGCUCAAUCGAAGGCCACAUCUCACCAAAUGAUAAGAGAGGGUAGGGGGAUUUUGACUGCUGGAGCGCAUUGUGGCCGUAAUCGACCACCUAUUCAACUUCUAGAUGCAGUCUUCAAUUUGUGCUUGAGCUUUCGCAUCUUUGUACUCCUGCAGUAGAUAUGCAAAAUUGCAUUUUUCUAAUUAAUGAUAUUGUUUUCUAACAAUCUACGCACGACAAUGGUUGGUUGAUCUUUGAUCAGUCAAAACAUCUUCGAUACAUUGUAGUUGCGUUGGAAAGCUGGGAUCAUGAGUUUUGAAUCGCUAAAAUUUCGGCAUUCUGAUGGGCCAAUGUGACUCCAGAGAAACGAAGUUAUUUUCAAUGACAAAAGUACAAAUUGAUCUCGUGUUUGCUCAGUAUUCAAAGCCUUUUGAGUUUGUAGUCUGAGUACCGCUAUUAAUCUGCCUUUCUUGUGCGCUCUUUUUUUUCUCUUUUUUCUUUUUUUUUAAUAUUACUCUUCUUUCCUCUUUGUCACUUCGCCUUUUUUCUGCAGCACACAGCAUUCUCUUCUGUUUUUUUUUAAAAAAAAAUUACUGGAGACCUUAGCUGUCUUUUCUAUGAUAUUAUUAUUAUUUUUUUUUUGUAAUGAAGGAAGCGAAUUGUUUGGUAUAUUUCUCUUUUUCAAAAAAAAAAAAAACAAAGAAUCUCUAGAGUCUAGACAAGAAAAUUCAAUUUGCAACUUUUAAUUCCACCUAUUGUAAGUUGUACUAUAUUUGGUGUUUAUUUUGGAUACUUCUGGUUUUCUUAUCUUUUUCCAUGUCUUUUUUCAUUCAAAGAGCCUCCAAAAGACAAAUUUGAAAUAUAAAAUGACACCAAUCGUAUCUAGCACAAGUGGCAAAGAACUUGACGGUUGGUAUCCGAGAUCCCAAAUUCAAAUCGUAAUUAAUUUAUAAUUUCGACUAAGUUUAUUUUUAAAAGAAAUAAACAAAACAGCUAUGAUGCUGUCUUUCUCUUAAAAAAAAAAAAAAAGAAAAGAUGAGGAAGAUAGCGAGAUUUGCAUUAUCGCUGCUAUUCAAAAUGUACAAUGAUAGUGUUAGUGCCUUAGCAAAAAGCCAAAAAAAAAAAGGAAAAAAAAAAAAGGAGAGGUUGUUCACAUCUCAUUAUAGACCCUCCUUGUGAUGUAAAAUAAAUCAAGUAGGGUCUACCACUAAAGAGCAUAUUUGCCUCUAAAUAUUAUUCCAUUAUUGUGGGUAGAGAAUUAACUUAUUUAUCAAUUGAUUUUAGGAGAAUAUUGUCAACUAUUCUCCAUGUACACAUAUAUAGGAAAAAGGGACAGACAUGUGGAGGUGACAACAAAAUGUACAGAUCAGUUGAUUGGUAUUGAGAUUAUAUUCCUUCUAAAAAUAAUAAGAGGAUGUACUUGUGGGGUUUCUAUGUUUCUUUUGUAUUUCAUUUGACCUUAUUUUUCAAUAGCACAAUGUGAAUCAUGAGGAUACAUGAAAAUGAAUACUUUGUGUUUUUUUUCCCAUAUUGGCUUAAUUUUAAGAUGCUCAGAGAAUUUGUAAUAAGAGAACUUACUAGUGUGGUAUCAUUACAAGUUAUAAUUCAAAUUUCUUCGAAAUUUUGAUUAUAGUUAGAGUUUGUUUCUCUUUAUAAAAUCUAUACAGUAUAUGAUAUCAAGAGUCUGAAUAUUUUUACUUUUGCCAAAUGACAAGCCGAAUAAUUGACAUAUGGCAAUCUGAAUUAAGACAACAAGACAAUAAAUAUUAUUUAUAUUUCAAAAAUAUUGAAUUACUGUAUAGAGAUACAAAUAUGAGUCGCAUCAGUGUACAACACAUAGAUUAAUGACUAAUGUGUGUGUGUUGUUUUUAUCUCUAAAGCAAAAGUCCAUAAGCAUUUUAUUAAAGCAAGAUUACAUCAAAACAUAUAGUUAGGAAAAAAGAUAAAAAUUACAUUUCCUAAUAAACAUAUAAGAUGAGAAAAUGAAGUUAGCCCCAAAACUCUAAGGAAGAAGAUGAAAAUAAUGCUUUAGGGUUGGUAAUUUUUCAAAACAUUUUUGGACUUUUUAAUUAAAUGCUUUAGGUACUAGCAACAGAAUACAAAAGAAGUUUUUCUAGAUCUUGCUAUAUAUACUGUUAUAUUUGGUUUAGAUUUGUAGUUAUCUAAAUUGGAAUUAAAUCCUAAUCUAAUUGGGAUUGGAUAUAAUUUAGAUUUAAUUUGGCAUAUAUGGAUUAUGAGUCGGAAUCUAAUUUCUAAUUGAAUUAGGAUUAGACUCUAUUUAUUUAAGAGACAUGUAUUAUAAAUAUAUGCUACGGCCAAAUUAAUUGGUGCGACCAAAAUUAAAAGCCACGCAUUAAUUAAAUUUAUUCUGGAUGGUCCGUACGGUGAUCUAAUUAAGAAGCCAUGCCUAAUUAAGCUUGCAAUUAAGUUCAAGUUCUCUGGGCUUCUUUCUUGCUGAUGGUCACGUUGCGGCGGCUGCGGCGGCUCUAAUUAAUUCAUGCAUGUUGAUAUUCCGAGGCAUCAAAAGGAGCCGUACAUCAUCUAUGGUGAGCCGAGCUAUCUUAUUUGGAGUCGCUUGUAGGAUGCGGAUUUCGGCGUUUUCGAUCUAAUUGAGUUUUGGUCUUUAAGAGAUUUUCUUGUACUCCGCCUUUUCGACAUUAAUAAAGUAUUUGCUCCGUCUUCGCCCGUGGACGUAGGCCGUUGGCCGAACCACGUAAUUAUCGGUGUGUUCUUUCCUUAUCUUUUCUUUUCUUGCAUUAAAUUAUUUUCUAGAUCUAUUUUUUCGCCGUUCCGAUUAUAACAAACUGGUAUCAGAGACUUUCUAUUCCCUUUGAGGAUUAAGAUGAUGACGAAGUUCGAGAUUCAGAAAUUUGACAGGACCAACAGUUUCGCAUUAUGAUAAGUCAAGAUGCGUGCAGUAUUGACGAGGAUUGCAGAAGGCACUGUUGGGAAAAGAAAAGAUGCCCGAUUCGUUAACGGCAGAGCAGAAGGAGGAGAUUGAUGAUAAAGCUCUUACGGCAAUACAAUUAUGUUUAUCCAAUGAGGUAUUGCGCGAGGUCUUGGAUGAAAAGACCGCUGCAGGGCUUUGGCUUAAAUUGGAGUCUCUCUAUAUGACGAAAUCUCUCACCAACAAGUUAUAUUUGAAGCAACGUCUCUUUAUGUUGCGCAUGGCGGAAGGUACCUCUAUUAAGUCGCAUUUAGAUGAAUUUAAUUCUAUCAUUAUGGAUCUCCGCUUGAUAGAUGUAGCCCUUUUAUUAUUAUGUUCUCUACCGCCCUCUUAUAAGAAUUUUCAUGAGACUUUCUUGUUUGGACGAGAUACUCUAUGUCUCGAUGAUGUUAAAUCCUCUUUACUUUCAAAAGAGAGAAUUGACAUGCAGAUAAGCAACGAGACAGGUGGAGCUUCAGGACAAGGUUUGGUCGCUAGAGGGAGGUCUCGGGAGAAGGGUUCCGGUAAUAGAGGUACAUCUAGAUUAAAGUCAAAGCACAGAAAUCUGAUUUGUGGUUAUUGUAAGAAGAAGGGUCACAUAAAAGCUGAUUGUUUCGAGUUGAAAAAUAAAGAGCAGCGAAAGAAUAACGGUGAUAAGAAUCAAAGUCAGAAAAACACCAAUACUGAAGCAGAAGCAAGUGUUGCAGCAGGAGAAUCAGAUAAAAAUGAUAUCGUCUUUACAGUUACGGAUAAGACACGCAGACAGGAUGAGUGGCUUAUGGACUCCGCAUGUUCUUUUCAUAUCUGUACACAUAGAGAAUGGUUCUCGACGUACAUGCCUAUUGAAGGUGGAGAUGUAUUGAUGGGAAAUCACUCUAAGUGCACAGUUAUUGGAAUUGGCACUGUUCGGGUACGAAUGUUCGAUGGAGUAGUGAGGACUAUAUCUGAGGUUCGGCAUGUUCCGGAUAUGAGAAAAAAUCUGAUCUCAUUGGGUACACUUGAUACUAAAGGCUUUAAGUAUUCUUCAGCUGAUGGAUUAAUGAAGGUCGCUAAAGGGAAUCUUGUAGUGAUGAAGGCCAAGUUGUCCGACAUGUUAUAUGUUCUACAGGGUUCCACUGUGACAGGUUCAGCAGCGGUGACUUCUUCUUCUAUGUCAGAUUCGGAUAGCACCAGAUUAUGGCAUAUGCGACUGGGCCAUAUGAGUGAAUAUGGUAUGAUGAAGUUGGGCGAGAGAGGUUUACUUGGUAGUCAGAGUUUAGAAAAGUUGGACUUCUGCGAGCAUUGUGUUCUUGGCAAACAAAAGAGAGUCAGCUUUAAGGCCGCAGUUCACCGAACAAAAGGUACUCUGGACUACAUCCAUUCUGAUCUUUGGGGACCUUCUCGUACUCCUACUCAUGGUGGUGCUAGAUAUAUGUUGACUUUUAUUGACGACUAUUCUCGUAAAGUGUGGGCGUUCUUUCUGAAAAGUAAGGAUGAGGUGUUCAAUUAUUUCAAGCAGUGGAAGGUCAUGAUUGAGAAGCAAACUGAAAAGAAGAUUAAGAGAUUAAGGACCGACAACGGUUUGGAAUUCUGUUCGUCAGAGUUUGAAGAAUUCUGCAAGAAGGAAGGGAUCGUUCGACAUAAAACCGUUAGGCAUACUCCACAGCAGAACGGGGUGGCCGAACGGAUGAAUAGAACUCUUUUGGAGAGGGCCCGUUGUAUGCUCUCUAAUGCUGGCUUAGCGAAGAGUUUCUGGGCAGAGGCGAUCUCUACGGCAUGCUAUCUGGUGAAUCGAUCUCCACAUUCAGCACUUGAUUGCAAAACUCCGGAGGAGGUAUGGUCUGGUAGCCCUUCUGAUUAUUCUAAUUUGCGAAUAUUUGGUUGUCCUGCUUAUGUUCAUGUUAAUGAAGGCAAGUUAGAACCUAGGGCUAAAAAGUGCAUUUUUAUUGGUUAUGCAUCGGGGGUUAAGGGAUAUAGAUUGUGGUGUCCUGAAUCGUCUAAAUUAAUUAUUAGUAGGGAUGUCACAUUUGAUGAAUCUGCUAUGUUAUAUCCUAACCGUAAUUCUUCUGAUGAGACCCCGAGUGCUAGCAAGCAGGUGGAGGUAGAGACCGAUGGUAUAGUUCAGUCACAGGAUUCUUCUCAGUCAGAACAAGUUCAGUCGACAGACACCUCAGUAACUGAAACCCCACAAGUUGAGAGGCAGAGCAUUGCUACAGGCAGAGCGAGGAGACAGAUCAAACCACCGCAGAGAUAUGGUUAUGAAGAUAUGGUUGCGUACGCUCUUUCAGUGGCACAAGAUACAGAAGAAGAAGGUGAACCUUCGACAUAUAAUCAAGCUAUUUCCGGUGCCAGUUCUGCAGAGUGGUUGGUGGCGAUGAAUGAGGAGAUGGAGUCUCUCCAUAAGAAUCGCACAUGGGAGUUGGUAAAACCGCCUACAGGCAAGAAAAUUGUCGGCUGUAAGUGGGUCUUCAAGAAAAAGGACGGAAUCCCCGGCGUGGAAGAUACAAGGUAUAAAGCUCGUUUAGUUGCUAAGGGCUACAGUCAGGUAGAAGGUGUGGACUUUAAUGAUAUUUUCUCACCCGUCGUAAAGCAUACUUCUAUUCGUGUUCUUUUAUCGUUAGUAGCCAUGAAUGACCUGUAUCUUGAGCAGCUUGAUGUUAAGACAGCUUUUCUGCAUGGAGAACUUGAGGAGCAAAUUUAUAUGAAACAGCCGGAGGGAUUCAUUGUUGAAGGGAAGGAGGACCAUGUUUGCCUGUUAAAGAAAUCGCUUUAUGGCUUAAAGCAGUCUCCUCGACAAUGGUAUAAGCGGUUCGACUCCUUUAUGACAGGUCACGGAUAUUCCAGAAGCAAACGUGACAGUUGCGUAUAUUUCAGAAAGCUUGAUAAGGGAUCUUUCAUAUAUUUGUUGCUCUAUGUCGAUGAUAUGUUAAUUGCUUCCAGCGACAUAGUUGAGAUAAAUAAAUUGAAGGCUUUACUUAAGGGUGAGUUUGAGAUGAAAGAUCUAGGUGCUGCUAAGAAAAUCCUUGGUAUGGAAAUUAAGAGGGACAACAAGUCAGGACUACUGCAUUUGACACAAGAGAAAUAUAUAGAGAAGAUUUUAAAGCGUUUCGGGAUGACAGACGCAAAACCAGUGAGCACUCCUUUUGCGGCGCAUUUCAGACUUUCCGCCGAGUUAUCACCGCAGUCCGAUGAUGAGCGGGAGUACAUGUCACAUGUUCCCUAUUCUAGUGCUGUCGGGAGCAUCAUGUACGCCAUGGUUUGCACACGGCCGGACAUCUCCUACGCAGUGAGCAUGGUUAGCAGAUAUAUGACCAAUCCUGGUAAGGCUCAUUGGCAGGCUGUUAAGUGGAUUCUGAGAUACUUACGAGGUACCACUAGCACUUGUUUGGAGUUUGGGAGGUGUAAGGAUGGUGUGGUUGGAUAUGUUGAUUCGGAUUUUGCAGGUGAUUUGGAUAGGAGGAGAUCACUUUCAGGUUAUGUAUUCUCUAUUGGCGGAUGUGCAGUUAGUUGGAAAGCUUCACUACAACCUAUUGUCGCCUUGUCUACGACGGAGGCGGAAUAUAUUGCUAUGACAGAGGGUGUGAAGGAAGCUAUGUGGCUAAGAGGCUUAUUUGGAGAGCUUACUUCUUAUUGGGAUCCGACGAUUGUUUAUUCGGACAGUCAAAGUGCUAUUCAUUUGUCUAAAGAUCAAAUGUUUCAUGAGAGGACAAAGCACAUCGAUGUAAAGUUUCACUUUGUUCGGGAUGUGAUUGGGAAACGCACGUUGACAGUUAAGAAAAUUGGUACUGAGGACAAUCCGGCAGAUAUGCUUACUAAGUCCCUUACUAUUGCCAAGUUCAAGCAUUGUUUGGACUUGGUGGCAGUUAGCAGCAUUUGAGGCCCUAUGGGGCGUUUGGAGAAGACGGAGGACGGAGCGUUAAGGAGCAUUGAGGCGAAUUAAAUUCAAGGUGGAAUUUUGUGGCGAUCUCGACAUAGCGGCGGCUAAACUACAAAUUAAACCAAGGUGGAGAUUGUUAUAUUUGGUUUAGAUUUGUAGUUAUCUAAAUUGGAAUUAAAUCCUAAUCUAAUUGGGAUUGGAUAUAAUUUAGAUUUAAUUUGGCAUAUGUGGAUUAUGAGUCGGAAUCUAAUUUUUAAUUGAAUUAGGAUUAGACUCUAUUUAGGAGACAUGUAUUAUAAAUAUAUGCUACGGCCAAAUUAAUCGGUGCGACGAAAAUUAAAAGCCACGCAUUAAUUAAGUUUAUGCUGGAUGGACCGUACGGUGAUCUAAGAAGCCAUGCCUAAUUAAGCUUGCAAUUAAGUUCAAGUUCUCUGGGCUUCUUUCUUGCUGAUGGUCACGUUGCGGCGACUGCGGCGGCUCUAAUUAAUUCAUGCAUGUUGAUAUUCCGAGGCAUCAAAAGGAGCCGUACAUCAUCUAUGGUGAGCCGAGCUAUCUUAUUUGGAGUCGGUUGUAGGAUGCGGAUUUCGGCGUUUUCGAUCUAAUUGAGUUUUGGUCUUUAAGAGAUUUUCUUGUACUCCGCCUUUUCGACAUUAAUAAAGUAUUUGCUCCGUCUUCGUCCGUGGACGUAGGCCGUUGGCCGAACCACGUAAUUAUCGGUGUGUUCUUUUCUUAUCUUUUCUUUUCUUGCAUUAAAUUAUUUUCUGGAUCUAUUUUUUCGCCGUUCCGAUUAUAACAUAUACAUAUAUCAACAUUUUUAUUAAACAAAACCUACUGUUAUUUUUAUUCCAAAACCUAGCUUUUGUUUUCUCCUUUAUUCAAAAACAGUUGGCAUUUUUUUUUUUUUUGUUGACUUUGAUCCUAAUUCCGAACCUUCACUCAAACCCCAUAAUAUCUUCUGUUCUUUUUUAAAAUUUCUCGUUCUUCUUCUUUUCUCUUUUUUUUCCUUGCCUAUUUUCCACCACUAUGAUAAGAAAAUAUUUUUUUUAUUAUUAUAAAUAAUAACACUUUGUGUAGAUUAUAUUAAGAUCAGUUAAUAUAUAGGAAAGGUAUUUUCUACAUCGCUUUUGCCAUGUCCUUUUCGGGCUAAUUGUAUUAGCCACUCGCUAAUGCUAAACGACUCCUAACAAUUUGUUAUCACUUUCAUCUUAUAUUUAUGAGCAUUACUAAUAUUUCGCCCUUAAUUUUUUUUUUUUUGUUAGGUCUUCUUUUUCUAUUGUGUUGUUAUUAUGGAUAGACACCAUCGCUGCCAUUACGAUCUUUGAACUAGAUUUUCGUGAACCACUUUGGACUCAAUUUGACGCGACGAGACUCGAUCAAGCUUCUCUGAUCCAAAACCCGACCGCAUCGAAUCGAAUCGAACCUUAUAUAGCCGAACCCUUAUUUCACAGACUUUUUUAUAGGUUAAAUAAUUCGUGUGUUCUGUGACUGUAAAUCAGAGCUUGUUAGCAUUUUCUAACUGCAUAUGUCUAUUCAAAGUUGUUUAUUUCAUAUCACGACUAAAUUUUUUCUAUUAGAUUAAGUUAUUUUCAGUUUGAUAUCUCACCCUCUAGGUAGUGGUGUUGGAACAUAAUAUUAUACUAUAUAAAAAAGUAAAAAUAUAUAAAACUUAUCUAAAUUUUGAUCCAGUUUUAUUUUAUUAUCCAAAAUUUUAAAAACUUUGAUUUUUUGUAUACAAUAUUUAAUUUUGUUUUGAUUUAAGCUAAUAUAAAAAUUAAUUUCAGUAUAAAGUUUUGAUUUAUUACUUAUUUUAGUAGAGCUAUAGUUGUGUAAAUUACGUAAAAUAUAUUAAUCAAAUCUAUGAAAAUAAAUAACACAUUCAAAUUUAAAAGUAUAAGAGCCACUAAAUGACUCAAAAUGUAUAAAUUAAAAUAGAUUAUAUAGCAAAUUAGAAAUUUUUUUAAAAGAUUUGAUAGUUGAGCAAUUCAGCCUAUACUCAUGUGCCUUCUGCAUGCCCACUUUUUAUUAAAUUUUUUGUUUGUUUUUUUUUACUAAAUCUACAAAAGAUUUCGUGAACUCUAAGUACGCACAUUAUAUAUAUAUAUAAUAUAUAUAUAUAUAUAUAUAUAUAUAUAUAUAGUAUAUAGCAAUUUGUAGAUUAUUUGUCAAAAAAGAUCAUCAUAGUUAAAAUACAGAAAUAAUAUCUAUAUUUUAAUAUAUUUAAAUAUAUUUAAUAUAAUUCUGGUUCAUCAAAAUAUUUUAUCGAUUUUUAAAAUAUUUUUAUAAAUAUUUUAUCUUAAAUUUAAUAAUAAAAUUUAUAAUAAUAUUUUAAAAAUAGAGAAAUAAAUUUAAAAUAUUGAACAGUAAUGAGGAAUAUAUAAUAAAGAUACUGAAAUAUAUUCAAUAUUUUAAAAUAAGACUAAAUUACAGAAAACUUAUGUAUAUAUAUUAUAUAUAUAUAUAUAUAUAUAAUAUAUAUAUAUAUAUAAUAUAUAUAUAUUACUUUUCCUCCCUCACUUUCUAAAUCUAUAUUUUAUCUCCCUGUCAGAAUUUCAUCACUAUUCCGUCUAUUUCUUAUAAUUUAUAUAAAAAAUAUAUUUCAAAAUAAUAGAAAUAUAUUAAAAAUUAUUUUUUUAUAGAAACAAUAAGGAUAAUAUAAUUUUGUUAUUUUGUCAUUUCCAUUAGGGGAUGUUUGUUUGAAUGAAAGUGAGGUGGAAGUGGAAAGGGGGAAGUCGUUUUCGCCAUAAUGAUUACUUUCAUUAUUUGGUUCGCCGUAAAAAAGUUACAGUCGAAACUCGAGUUAAUCUGAAACGACGUAAUUGACUUCGGCCCAUCGUCUGCCAAAAUCAAUUACGAUGAAGGAAAGUGAAGAAAAAGUAAUAAAAUAAUAUACUAGGUAAAAAUAAUUAUUUUUAAAUAUAUUUAAUUAUUGUACUAAUUACUCUUUUAGUUAAUGGUAUAUUUAAAAUAUAAUAAAAAUUAAUUAGUUAAAUCUUAAUAUUUUUUUAUUUAGUUUGUACAAUUAAUUGAUUAAUUAAGUAUUAAUAUUUUUUACUUUAUAAUUUUAUUAUGGUAUUAUUAUAAUUUAUAUAUAAAAAAAUAAUUUAGUUGUUUUAAAUUAAAUUUUAAUUAUAUAAAAUAUAAUUAUAUUAUUUUUAUUUAUUAAAUUAUUUAUUAUUUAUACAUAAAUUAUAAUUUUACAUCAUAUAUUUUUUUAUCAAACAAACAACAAAACUAAUAAAACUUCACUUUUUAUAACUACGAAAUAAAUAACAAAAGAAAAUUAGUUUUCACCCAAUUCUAUUUCAAUCCAAAGUUUAUUGCUAUCCAAAAUUUAGUUUUAGUAAAACAAACGUGCUCUUGACACCGUACUUUUAAAAAUAUUUUAAAAUUUUUAAAGAAUAAAAUAUAAAAUUUAAAAANAAAAAAAGAGCCACUGGAACCAUCGACUGGCUUCAUGCCGCUUCCACCCGCGCGCUAACUAAACCGUCGCAUAUAAAACCAAAGGAGGAGAGAGAGAGAGAGAGAGAGAGAGAGAGAAGGGUUCGUAAAACGCUCACAAAAGUGGUGUGGCGUUGGCCAUGGCGGAGCCGGAGCCGGAGCCCCAGCGCGCUCUUCCGAAGACACCGGCGGCGGGGGCGUGGCGGAGCGGCGUGCACUUCCCGAACCCGCCGGAGACGGCGACGUGGAGCGCCGGCCCGCGCUACCCGAACCCGCCGGACCCGGCGAACCCGGACCCGGCGACGCUCCGCGAGCAGUGGCUCUUCGCGACGCGGCGCUACAGCCGGUGGUACUCCCGCGCCUGGGGCGCCGCCGCCCUCGCCGCCCUCUCCUUCUUCGCCCUCGGCCGGGCCCUCAAAGGCUCCAACCCCAUCCCCUCCCACAACCCCCACCCCGCCUCCACCUCCGCCUCCUCCUCCGCUGCCGAUGAUAACCACCACAGGUGCUUAUGCUUUGUAUUCUUUUGUAUUCUAGUAAAAAUAUACGUAAUUUAUCUGGACUAUAAGCUAUGUUGAAUUGGCCAUCUAAUUUUUCACAACACUUUUCAAUUUGUUUGAUUUGAGUCCAUAUUUUGAUUUUUCGGCUAAUAACUUAUUUCAAUAAAUUUAUAGUUGCCGGUGUUACAUAAAAUUAAUUAACUUUACUUAGCCCGUAAAGAUAAACAAACGUAAUUAAAUUAUAAAGUAAGAGUACGGUUGACUGAUUCAAAUGAAAUAAAUUAAAUGGUAAGCUGGUUCGCUAAAAUUUUGAAAGGUUGGAUGAUCAAACUCAAAAUUAUCUAUAGUUUAGAUAAGUUUUAUAUGGUUUAUCCUUUUAAUUAUUUUGGGGUGUAAUGAUUCAGUCCGAUGCAUGUACGAGGAAUUCUACACCGUCACACUUGCACCACGUCAUCAAUAACAAGCCAAUCACAUUCCUCCUUUUCAAACAAAAGUACAAUAAAAAUACUUUUUUACAAUCAUGAUGGGACAUAUAUUCUUAAAAAGAUUAAUUUGAUUGGUUUGUUACGCCACAUCACUAAUAUAUCCGUUGUAUUCUAGAAUUUUUCUGCAUUUACAGCCAUCUUCCCUGUCUAGUUGUCCUGUCAGUACUAGAAUGCUUAGUUCUUCUGUACCUUGGCUUUCUCGUCAGAUCCAAUUGUACGCAUAGUUGAGGAUCAUCAGCUCUAUGACGUGUAAUUUUAUCAUGUAUAGCACUUAGCUCUUGUUUGACUGUCCCAAUAAGCUAUCCAAGUUUAACUUACUCAGUAUGAGGAUUUUCUACGGUCGUUGUAAAGAAUUUGAUUUUUGUUUCUCGAGAGGUACUGAUAUCCAUAAUCGGAUAGGAUUGCAUAUUUUAUUUACAAGGUAAUUUAAAAUGACUUGAAGGCAGCAUAUGGUAUCCAUUCUAGAUAUUCUAUUGCACUCCUCAUCUACCAAAAUUUUUUUUGAGUAAAUCAACGAGAUAUACCGAACAAAAUACUCAUGCACCCGAAACAGAGUCUCGGACUCUGAUUGGAUGCAUGAACAUUUUAUAUGGUGCAUCUUUUUCAUUUACUCAAAAGGUAUAUAUAUUAUUUGGUAAUCAGAAGUGCGAUCAAAUGUUUAGAAUGGUAUAUUAUAUUGGCUACAAGUCACUUUUUCGAAUCGGAUAAAUUACCUAUAGAUGAAAUAUGUUAUUGUACCAAAUUAUAAAUGUCAAAAUCUUUCAAGGAGCGGAAGUUAAAACUGUUAAUUUUCAACCACAUAAGAAAUUUUUCAUACUGAAUAAGUUAUCAUCAGAUAACUUAUUCCGACAUUCGAACAGGGCUUUAAUUCCCACAUUUUUAUUGUCUUGAUCCCUCUUGUACGCCAUACUAGUAUCUACAGUUCUUGUAUAUCCAAACACAAUCUCUUUUCUAUAGAUUGUUGUGUAACCUUACAUGGUUAAAGUCGUUUUAAAUGGAUACCUGAAUUUUAAAUGUGUACUUCAGUGUUCUAAGUUUCUGAAAACAGAAAAAAAAUUGUGAUUUUAGUUUUUGCCAUAAAGGAUGAAUAUUAGGCGCUACGAAAGAUUUAAGCUGAGUAAGGUGCUACAAUCAUGGACUAAACAUUUUUGGGUAGAUAAUUACUGUUAAUGUUUCUAGUGCUUUUUAUACUGUUACCAUCCUAGUUUCCUGUUUGUUAGGAAAGUAGGUUUGCGCUCAAUAUGUUCUUGAGCCUAAAACAGUGUCAUCAUUUUAUUCAACAUUCAUCUCUUUUCACCAUUUGGUGGAAUUUUCAUGUCACCUAAAUGUUGAAUUGGUACAUUGCAAGUCCUCUUAUGUACUUAUGUCGUAGUUUCAAUUUUUUCUAGUGUUGUAAUUUGAUGAGCUCAUGUGAGAUAAGGUUUCCUGCAAGAUCAUAAGUUGUUCAACAAUUUGAUAUGUCCUGUAUAAGCUUGUGCGCCUCCUCAAUUUUCCCCUAUUCAACUUCUGGCAGCUAAUGCAAUCGCUUGUAUCAACUCCUGCGGAGUUUCACCUUCGGCUCUUGAGACAGUCUGUCUUCUUGCACCUUAGGACCAGAACGGGGUUAAAUGUGAGUCGCUUUAAUGUCGCCAGUCUUCCUUUCGUAGCUUGCAUAUAUAUGUUGUAAUGCGACAACUGUCGGAUUCCUUGAAUCAAUAGUUGGGCAUUAGGAAUGCGAUCGCAGAUGUCCAGAACCACGGAAAGCAUUGCUUGUCUGCUUGCUUGACUGCCAACCUAAGUGCCUUACAUUUGAAGUAAUUUAAGGUGGUCUCAAGCCAAAUUCGGAUAAUAUGUAUGAUAUAGGCUGAUGUGGCAUUAUUAUAGGAAAAUCAGUUUUCUUGAGUGACAUUGCUUGUUGUUCUUGGGCUUUUUUUUUUCUUGGGCACUUUUUUUUCCUGCUUUGAAUUGUAACUGAUCCAGAUGUAUUUGGUAGCAUGCUUUUAUUAGGGUUUUGCCUGUAAAAGGAUCUCCUCUUUAUUGAAACUGUAUAAUGUCUUUUUUUUUCCUUUGUUAUAUAUUGAGUUCUUGAUUAGUAUUAUGUAUUAUCAUCUAAUUCAAAUAUGUUUUUCCCUCAAUUUAACUGUUGGAGUUGAAUAUCUAAUCCCUCUUUGUUUUGUUCAUCUUUUGAUCGUGAAACUCUCGACGGUAUAUUUCAUCAACUUCCAUUCAGGAGGAACCAGAAAUUGUUUCUAAAUGCUUGGUCAUGUCAGCAAUCCGUCACCUUGCUGUCAGAGAACAUACUCAUGAUAGAAUAGAUAUCGAGAAUGUUUACUUAACCGGCUACCUCGUGGUGUUCUGACGCUGUUAAUUGUAUCUAUUUUAUCAGGUAACUAUGUUUUGUCAAAAGCUUUGUAAAAAGGGUGUUAACAGCGCGAUCGCGUGUAGAAAAGCCAUGGUAGAGCAAAGUGCAGCGGCAGCAGCAGAAAGUUAGAUUAGAAGGAUGCAAUAUCCAAACAAGGAGAAUGCUCCUUUUUAAGUUGUUUUUUGAGGUUCUUGUGUAUGUACAUUAGCGAGCUUGAAACAGUGAUUUUGUGUAUAAAUGUUUGUAUGUUUAAUAUGAGCCGAGUGAUUUUGUAUAUAAAUGUUUGUAUGUUUAAUAUGAGCCGAAGUUCUCACGCACUUUGGUUUGACAUGGAUUAGAAAUUUGAUAAAUUGUAGGUGAUGUUGUUUGAGUAUUUGAUAUGAACUGUGGAGAAAAGGAAGGUGCAGUUUUAUGAGACUAAGAACCAAAUUGCCUGAGACGAAACAUUCUUUUCGUGGUUUGCAUUGUUGCUUUCGCUCUUCUUGAUUUAAUGAUGGAUUUUUUUUGCCUGUGAAACCAAAAGAACAAGGAAAGAAGACCAAAACUAAGGGCAGAAUAAAUCCCACAUCAAGUUUGUUUUAGUAACAGCUGAAGCCAACAAAGAAUAGAUCAACCGCGAACUCUUCACUUUUACAAGUAAUCACAACUCAUCAUACAAACACAAACUAAUCCCCCGCGAAUUGUUAGCUCAGAAAAACCCCCCUCCUCCUUACUCUCCAAACAAUUCAAUAUCUACAUAUAUUUUCGCACUUUCACUCAUUCAUCACCAUUUCCAUCAUUAAAUCGUUCCAAGCAUCUAUCGGCCCCGGCACGCACCAGUGCAAGCAAUCGGUUUGUACUUUCACAUUCCUACCCUUAUCAAAGGGACGAAAUUGUCUGUAAGGGCCCGCGUGCCCGUCCGGCCGUAGCAACGAAAGAUGGUAAGUAUCCAUCAGCUUUAGCGGAGCAGCAUGCCCUGCACCUUCCACCCUCUUGAACUCUUCCAGCUCGACCCUCCGCAUUAAAUGGUCUAUAUUUUUACCUUUGAACUCACCUUCCUUAUACGGCACCGUCCUAUCACACUUCCCGCCGUUAAACCACUCGCCGUCUUCGAAGUGGUCCACGUCCUGUAUAUAACACGCGGCUUGCGAGAUGAAGAGGUGAUGAAGUUGAAGGCCAUCCGGAGGGCAUUUCGGUAAAUGUACUCCACCCCGAGCUCAGGUAAGUUCUUUCCCGGGCAGUAGUGGCAGCCGAUGACUGUUCCGUUCUGCCAAACGAUCACGGUCUUCAAGAACCAUUGCCCGCCCGAUAUGACUACGUAGUCAAAGCUUUCGUAUUGGUUGAUCCAUUUCGGGUCCAGUUCGUCGAGAUGGAGCUGGAUUUCGGAUUUUGACUCACCGUCUUCGUUCUCGAAAGUUUCAGACUUGAUUAGAAAAGGAGCCCAGAGAAGAGAGACGGUGAAGUUGUGGGAGGGGAAGCGCCAUUCUCGCGAUUUGAAAUUUUCGUCGUGGUUGACCUCAACAGCUUCUUCUGCCUGAACCAUACAGAAGAACAAGUCCGAUAAGAAUGAGAUCUAAACAAUAGAGGCAGAUCAUAAUAAAAAGCAAUAGCAACUGGGUACAAGACAAGGAUUGAGUUCUCGUGAGUUCGCCUUUCAACUUUAUGGUUUACUAUGGACCUCAAAGGACUAGACCCUGUACCCAUCCUUAGUCGGCACCUUAAUCGUAUCUUUGUAUAAGUUUCAAUGCAAAACUGUUCCAGGUACAGGCUCAGGCCUCAAUAACUUAAGCCUUUUAGUUUCAGAUGCACGGUAAGGAUUGAGUCUUCACGGAUUUGUUUAUUGAUGCGCCCUUCGCCUGAACCAAACACUAGCCUUUUGUAGUUUAAAAGUCCCUUCGACAACAAACGAAGUCGAACCUUUUUUUUCUUUCUUUUUCCUCCCAUAGGUCAAAAACAGAAGAAACAAGCCAUUUCAGAUCCUCAAAUGUUUACUAAUAUGUUUAGUCAUCACAAAAGUCGAAAACAAUCAUCAUUUUUAAGCCAAACCUUCUCCGGCAAAAUGCAUUAGUUUGCAAACUUGCACAAUUAUUGUAAUCAUGAAGUCAACCAUACAAAAGUUAAUUUUUACAAUACCAAGCAAGAAAAUCAAACAAAAACAACAUCAAGCAAGAAAAGCAGUCUUGCGAAUCUUAUAUCAUAUACGACAAAAAUACCUUGGAUAGAAGGCAAAUCAAUGAUUGGGCAUGAUUGCGAAGAAUCGAGUCACCAAUGAGCGCCCAACUUUUAUUCCGCAUGGCAUCUAGAAACUUCUUGGCAUCCAAUGGUGGUAUGUCACAACCGUAUGGUUUCCAUUUCCAGUAAAGAUACCCUGUGUCAGGCUUUCCAUUCAACAUACAGUUCUGAUGAUCUUCAAUAAAACGGCAGCUCGCAUUUGUAUAAGCUGGUCCUGAAGGAUUUGGUAUCCAUUCUCCAGCGAAAAGAUCACAUUGUUCUGACUCAAAAAAUAAAAAUUAAAAGAAACCAUAUAUGAUCAGUAUAGAACAAAAAGGAAAUUAUGUAACUUGUCACAGAAGUUGCUCAUACCUUUUCGUAAAAAGCCAACACAAUAUAAGCAGCAGUUAUAGACAAAAACAGGAAAAAAACAAUAAAGUACAAAUGGCAAAAGAAUACAUGGUAGUUAGCAAAUGCUCUUCAUGCCAACUUUAACAACACAUACAAAAAGAGAAAAGAAAGCUUUGUUUAUCUUUCUAACGGUUCUUUUUAUUUUUAACUUUUCGGAACAACAAAAUCUCAUGGAUACGGCAAUACAAACAGAAACUAAAAGGAAUGUUUUGCGGAUUCUUUAGUCUACCCAAUGUUAACUUUGGAUGGGGGCAUGACACUUGGAUACCUUCCGCAGGAAGUUCAGGGAAACGAAGGAUAGGACGCUUGGAUACGUAUGAGAAAGCACAAUUAGCAUGAGCAUAGUUUCACCAACAACCAAGAACCUAACCAUUAAGAUAUACUACACAUAACUGUGAAAUUAUCAACGAAUAAAUGCAACAAUUCAUUCACCAACAACCAAGAACUAGUUUUACCAUGAAAUAUAACAGCAAUUACUGUUAAUAAAAAUUUUGUUGCUUUACAUUCAACGGACAAAAUUUUAAGAUAUAAGAAACAAAGGAAAGAAAAAAAAGAGUAGCACGCCGUUGAGCUAACUUCCGUUACUGCACAGUUAGGUGAUUUACAUCAAAAUUAGCGGCAGGAUACAGCAAAUACGAUAAAACAUGCCAACUUAUUGAUUUAACAGAAAAUAUACGAAAAAUUCUCUAAUCAAAUCAUUUUAUCUAGCUGGAUUUUCUUUUCUCGUUGAAAUAAUUAUACUAAAACAACCCAAAUUGCAUAGUUGAUAUAAGUUUCUAUAAAAGAUAUAUUCACGAAUUCGUACUAUUUCUCAUCAUCGUGUUUAAAAUAUUUGAAAUGCACACUACCUUCUUGAAAAACUUCUUCAUCAUCUGACGCCAUUUGAGGAUUUGCUGCCUCCGCAAUAACUGUAGUUUCUGACGAGCAAAAGUAUUCAGAGAAAUCAGAGAAGAUAAACUGUACACGAAUUCAAAUUGAUCUUCAUUUUUUUUCUCUUUUUUUGUUAUUAGAAUAUCGUACACAUAGUCCCCAGGAUAACGGUAGCGACCAAUUAUAUUGGCAUGUCCACAACCACUGAUUACAAUCAUUAAUUGCCAUUUUCGGUGCUGCACAAUUCACUAUAAAAUUACAUUGAAGAUUAAUCCCAGGAAACUAUAAAUUCCCAAGUACUCAAUGCAGAUUUUCUAGCAUUAAGCCAAAUAAUGGUGAAGGGAAUGGAAAGAGUAAAUCAGUGAAAAUAACAUCAAAACACUCUUCGCCUAAUCCAAGCAAUGUUACAAGUGAACCUGAAAACUACUACACAACCAGUAAGGAUAUUAUUGAUUUAACCAUUCUUUGUAAAGUUUCUUACCAAAAACAUCCAAAGUUCACUUUAUUUCUGGUGAGAGGGACCAGAUGUCAACUAGAACUUAUAUCAUCCAAAUCAAAGAGGAAAAACCCAUAAAUUCAUAACUUCAUCAAAUUGUCCCUUUCUUGUUAACUAGAACCAAACAUAUGUUUCUAUAAUUAGAAGCAUACCAAAGCAGUAGUCAAAAUUCUUUUUUUUUUUAUUUUUAGAUCCUUCAAUGGAACACAAACCCAAUUUCCAACAUUUUCACAAUUUUCAACAAUUAAAUCAAAAUUUAUUCGAUUUACACUCACCAGAUCUUUUCCAGGACAAAAACCCAAAAACCAAAUACUCCCAAAAAAUUGAAAUUUUCAAGUAUUCCAACAAUAAAAUACUCUCUCCAAGUAUGAAUUUCAACAAAGAUCCAAUUUUUACUCCUCCUAAAACCCACUCUCAUUUUGUCCACAUCUUACCAAAAACCCAACUCAAAAACAAGAUCCAAGGGCUAAAAUUUCUCACCUUUCCGAGUUUCCUCAACCCCAACUCCAACUUCAGAAGCCACAGCUCCCUCAGCAGUGGUUGGUGGGUUAGAGAAGGAAAAGAAGGGGGCGGAGCAGGAGAAGAGGAGGCGAUAGGAGAUCACCACAAGAAGGGUGGAAACGAAGAGCUUGAUGUAGAUGUGGUUGCUCCUGUUACGGUAAAGAGAUGGCCAUGGCUCCCUAUGUGAACCCAUCUCCUCCUACAAGGGAGAAAAAAAAAAUGGAAAACAAGAAGUAAAAGAGGAAGGAGUGGGAGAGGAAAACAAGGAAGGAGAAGAAGAGAGGGAGGUUUUUAGAGUUUUUUCUUUGUUUAGUAGCAAAGUGAAAAAAAGUGGGAGGAGAAGAAGUAGUGCACAGAAGAAACAGAAGAGUCCCUACUCCUAGAAGAGAAAUGCUAGUGAAGGCUCCUCAUUCGCAAGUCAGUUCUUUUUUGACUUGAAAUAAGAUCGAGAUUGACCAUUGUUGUAAUAUACAGGUCGAACACGAGCUAAAUUUUUAAACUCAGUAAUUUUUUUUUUUUUAUUUUUGAGAGAUAAGUAGCAUGCUAUCCGUUUUAUUUAUUUUAUUUAGAAAUAAAUUUAGCUAAAAAUAUAAAUUAGCUAGAAUUCGAAUUUGGAAUCUCGGAUAUCAACUAUCAAAUCUUUUACCACUUGUGCUCGGAACGGUCGGCUAAACUCGUAAUCUUAACAAGUCGAAUAUAUUAGAUUAGUUCGUUUGUAUUCGGCUCCCUAUGUGAACCCAUCUCCUCCUACGAGGGAGAAAAAAAAAAUGAAAAAAAAAAAAAAAGUAAAAGAGAAAUGAGUGGGAGAGAAAAAGGAGGAGCUCAAAGAAGAAGAGGAAAAAGAGAGGGAGGUUUGGAGUUUUUUCCUUUUUUUUUAAGUAGCAAAGUGAAAAGAGAAAAGAAAAAAGAAGAAGAGAAGAUGAGCACAGAAGAAACAUAAGAGUUCCUAAAAAAAAAAAAAAGCAAUUUAAGGCUUAUAAUUUGCGAGUCAGUUCCUUUUGGACUUGAAUGAAAUCGAGAUCUAUCAUUUAUUUAAUAAACAAGUUGUGUAAAAGUUAAAUUUUUUAGAUCGAAACCUUAACAUGUUAAAUAUAUUGAAUUAGUUCGUUCGUAUUAUGCACGAUACAGCUCGAAUAUAUAUAUACUAUUUAGAUUUUAGAUCAAACCAAAUAUAAAAAGAUUUAUAUUCUAUAAAUUUUAAUUAUUAAAUUAAAAUUUUAAUUUUUUAAAAUUUUUUUAACUUUUCUCCCAAUAGUAGGACAACCAAAUGACCAAUCUAACAUUAUGUUUACAAAUAAACUUAUUUCAACUCGUUAAUAAACAAGUUGAAUAUGAACUAAAUUUUUUAGCUCGAUAUUCAACGACUUAGCUCGUGUUCAGCUUAUUUAUAAAUAAAUAAACACGAGCUUGUCCUAACUAGUUCGUGUUUGGCUCAUUACCAGCCCUACCUAUUUGUAUACCUCAUAUUGGAAUGUAGAUUUUAUAUUUCUUUAGUUUUAAAAUUAGAAAAAAAAAAUUACAAUUUUGUACU
This 42472-nucleotide long non-coding RNA is filed under the name Ananas comosus (pineapple). RNAcentral's name for it is "long non-coding RNA (ACOM_LNC016077)". Lineage: Eukaryota; Viridiplantae; Streptophyta; Magnoliopsida; Poales; Bromeliaceae. The record is from RNAcentral.